GGGCCUGUAGCUCAGUUGGUAGAGCACCGCGUUUACACCGCGGCUGUCGUCGGUUCGAGCCCGGCCGGGCCCA
Molecule: transfer RNA, 73 nt
Filed under: Kineococcus radiotolerans
Lineage: Bacteria; Bacillati; Actinomycetota; Actinomycetes; Kineosporiales; Kineosporiaceae
Also listed under: 8 other names
Description: tRNA-Val
Rfam family: tRNA
About the family: Transfer RNA (tRNA) molecules are approximately 80 nucleotides in length. Their secondary structure includes four short double-helical elements and three loops (D, anti-codon, and T loops).
Source: RNAcentral